RNAcentral lists this microRNA precursor (205 nucleotides) under Oryza sativa Indica Group (long-grained rice). RNAcentral describes it as "MIR812 microRNA precursor family". It matches the Rfam family "MIR812 microRNA precursor family". The record is from Rfam by way of RNAcentral. Lineage: Eukaryota; Viridiplantae; Streptophyta; Magnoliopsida; Poales; Poaceae.
AAAAAGACAAACCCUGAAUUUCCGUGUUCAACAUUUGACCGUCCAUCUUAUUUGAAAAAAAAUGAAAAAAAUUAAAAAGACAAGUCACGUAUAAAGUAUUAAUCAUGUUUUAUCAUCUAACAAUAAUAAAAAUACUAAUUAUAAAAAAUUUCAUAUAAGACGGACAGUCAAACAUUGGACACGGAAAUCCAGAGUUUGUCUUUUU